AGGACGAACGCUGGCGGCGUGCUUAACACAUGCAAGUCGAGCGGAAAGGCCCUUCGGGGUACUCGAGCGGCGAACGGGUGAGUAACACGUGAGCAAUCUGCCCCUAGCUUCGGGAUAGCUCCGGGAAAACCGGAUUAAUACCGAAUACGACUACGGCCGACAUCGGCUGUGGUGGAAAGUUUUUCGGCUAGGGAUGAGCUCGCGGCCUAUCAGCUUGUUGGUGAGGUAACGGCUCACCAAGGCGACGACGGGUA
RNAcentral lists this ribosomal RNA (254 nucleotides) under uncultured bacterium. Its description in RNAcentral is "partial small subunit ribosomal RNA". It matches the Rfam family "Bacterial small subunit ribosomal RNA", at positions 26 to 285 of the family's 1533-position model. The record is from RNAcentral.